This 2351-nucleotide long non-coding RNA is filed under the name Anas platyrhynchos (mallard). Its description in RNAcentral is "lncRNA (ENSAPLG00020012407.1)". The record is from RNAcentral. Lineage: Eukaryota; Metazoa; Chordata; Aves; Anseriformes; Anatidae.
CCUGUGCCAUGCACGAGGCACUGCUCCCAGCCUUCCUUCAUCGAGGACAGGGAACUGCUACAGAGGAAAAGCCGCUCAUAAAUCUCUCCGGGAGGCAUUUGUUCCCAGCUCGCCGAGGCUGGAAAUGCCACGAGGCGCCUGUCCCACGCUGAGCCAGCAGCCGGCGGAGGUCCCGCACUGCACCGCGGUGGCUCCGCUUCCUGCCCAGCCCUCGCGCCCGGAGCCAAGCAUUGCCCAAGAGCUUUCCUGUUUUCCCCACCGCCACUCGGCAUCCGAGACAUGGCACAGGGUGCUGCAAGCUGACCCCCCGUCGCUGCUGCUGAGAUGCCAAACCCCGGCGGGGGAGGACAGUUUGCACACACCAAGAGCCAGGCUGGAGCGGGAGCGCACGGUGCCGAGCGCGCGGGGACGAGGCGAGCAGAGCGCACGCUUCCCCAUCAAAAAUGACAGCCUCGACACCAGGCGGAAGAGGGGGGCACUCUCCCCCAUUACAUAUUUAUUGUGCAAAGCUGCAGAGGGGCCAAUUAAAACAGCUUGAUCACUGCCACGUUCAGGCAGCCGCGGAUGAGAAGCAGGAGGAGAAGCAGGUGUACGUUUUCCUGUUGCCGUUACAGCUCAGCUCGCUCCUCUGAGAGCCGCUGAAAAUCCCAGCUGAACAAAGGUGCUGCCGAGGCAGAAGCCAGCUCCUACAGGAGGGCAGCACGCGGGCACCAAAAAGGCAGAACAGCUUUCCUCCUUCAGCCCUCCGCCCCCGUACCCCACGCAGUUUCUCGGUGUUUGCUUCUGCUUUGUUUCCCUAUUUCAGCUCUUCCUAUAAGCUGCCUCCUGCACGAGGCAGGCUGCACCCACAUCUGCCCCAGCUUUCGGGCAAUUGCUCCAAGACACGCUCCUGGCUCCAACGUUUAGCUGCAACAGGAGUUCCCGAAGUAAGUUCUGGAAAGCCUGGGAGUGGUGGUUAACCGGGGCUCUCAGGAAGAUGCUGCAAAUCACACCUUUCCCUGAGACGCCACAGGGUCUGCACAGCAAACGGCUCCAAAUGCCAUUUCCAUUUAGCUGUUUUGCAAGCCAAUUUGUCACAUACUAAUGUAAUUUGCUGAAGAGAGUUAAAGAGCACAGGGCAGUAGCAGUCACCUUUUUUUUUUUUUUUUUCCUCUCUCUCCAGACUCCCACAUCCAGCCUGGAUCUGCAUUUUCACUUUUGCAUCAAAACCGAAAUUCCCUUCCUGUGAGAGGCGCAGGGAAGCUCAGGGUUAACACGAAGAGCAAGACGGAGUGAUAAGAGCACCAGGAAAAGCUGUUUCCAUCAUACCGGUGGAUUGUGUGCACGUCUCAGGCAGCAUCUGUUACCUGUUUCUACCACACAAACUUGUUACCAGCCGGGGGGGAGCCUCACAAUUAAUUACAUCAAUAACAGUAUAAAAACAAUGAGAAGUGAACUGUGCUGGUCUUCCUGCAACAAGCACCACGGAGAUAGUUGGGAAUGGUGACUGGUUCCUACACAAGCCAUUUCACAACAGUUAUACAUCCACAAUGCCCAUUCCUGGCGCCAAGUUUCUCAAGUCAAAGCUGUUUUAUCCGGUUCCCCGCACCACCCCAAAACCACAUUUAAGCUUUGAGGUCCUCAAAGUGACAACAAAUGGCAAAAGGACAGCAAUAAAGAAAAAAAUAUCACUUUUUCAAGGAUCUAACACCUCUGUGUUAAAGGAAAAAAAGCUAAACAUCUGCUCAGAGGAUGGCACAGAUUCCUUCUGAGGCAUCCAUCUUUCAGCUGUAAAGUAGGUCAUUUGAUUUAACUUUUAGAAGCACCGUUAUCAAUGAGGCCAUGCAGAGAAGGACAGCCAAGACCAGCUCCCUGAAGCCAGCUGAGAUCUAUUAAGCACACUUCAAGCCACCAGCGAAGUAUCAAGUGCUCAGCAAAUAGCGAGGAAACCCGAGCAGCAGCAGGUUUUUGUAUCACUGGUGCUCUGCAAACUUCACAUUUUCUCACCUCCAAGCCAAUAUCUUGAACUGCAGGUCACAGACGUACAGGGUCUGCUGUUUUUUUUUCCCCUCCACCACUUACUAUUCGCGUCACUUAAUAUCAGACUAUUGACUUUCUGAUACCCCUUUGAACGCAGAUUAACUGAACAUCAUUCACUUCACCUCCAGAAAUGAGCGUGAAUGGGAACAAAGCCUGUGCUGCCUGACCAGGCCAGGUUAAAGCGAGGUCAGGAGACGAGGAGGACAAGUGGCACCUCCAGCCUCUGCUGCGAGCACACGCGCACAGCUCCGGGGCUGGAGAAGACGCGGACCCCCGCACACAAGCCAGGAUUUCCCUGAAGGGAGCCUGAACGCAUUCAUCUUCCUUCCCUC